GGCUCGAUGGUCUAGGGGUAUGAUUCUCGCUUUGGGUGCGAGAGGUCCCGGGUUUCAAAUCCCGGUCGAGCCC
This 73-nucleotide transfer RNA is filed under the name Trichonephila clavata. It matches the Rfam family "tRNA". Rfam says of the family: Transfer RNA (tRNA) molecules are approximately 80 nucleotides in length. Their secondary structure includes four short double-helical elements and three loops (D, anti-codon, and T loops). Lineage: Eukaryota; Metazoa; Arthropoda; Arachnida; Araneae; Nephilidae. The record is from Rfam by way of RNAcentral.